Molecule: ribosomal RNA, 410 nt
Filed under: uncultured bacterium
Lineage: Bacteria
Description: bacterial SSU rRNA
Rfam family: Bacterial small subunit ribosomal RNA
Source: RNAcentral
AAUCAACGCUGGCGGCGUGCCUAACACAUGCAAGUCGAACGCGAAAGCCCCUUCGGGGGUAAGUAGAGUGACGUCCGGGUGAGUAACACGUAGGUAAUCUACCUUCGGGUGGGGAAUAACCAGUCGAAAGAUUGGCUAAUACCGCAUAAUGCAGCGGCACCUAAUGGUGAUUAGUUGUUAAAGCGGGGGAUCGUAAGACCUCGCGCCUGAAGAGGAGCCUGCGGCAGAUUAGCUAGUUGGNGAGGUAAUGGCUCACCAAGGCUUCGAUCUGUAGCUGGUCUGAGAGGACGGCCAGCCACACUGGCACUGACACACGGGCCAGACUCCUACGGGAGGCAGCAGUGGGAAUUUUGGGCAAUGGGCGAAAGCCUGACCCAGCAACGCCGCGUGAGGGAGGAAAUCCUUCGGGA